AUUCUUUUACAAAUGUAUUGGGGCGUAAAUAACUUUCUCUU
RNAcentral lists this transfer RNA (41 nucleotides) under Paederota bonarota. RNAcentral describes it as "partial tRNA-Leu". The record is from RNAcentral. Lineage: Eukaryota; Viridiplantae; Streptophyta; Magnoliopsida; Lamiales; Plantaginaceae.